Molecule: ribosomal RNA, 397 nt
Filed under: Ophryotrocha diadema
Lineage: Eukaryota; Metazoa; Annelida; Polychaeta; Eunicida; Dorvilleidae
Description: partial 16S ribosomal RNA
Rfam family: Bacterial large subunit ribosomal RNA
Source: RNAcentral
UCUGCCCGGUGAUGAAUUUUAAACGGCCGCGAUUUGCGCUAAGGUAGCAUAAUCAUUCGCCCUUUAAUUGGGGGCUAGUAUGAAAGGGGAAACGGGGAAAAGCUGUUUCAUUAAUAAAUCUAAAAAUUAAUCAAGAUGUGAAAAUGCAUCUAUAAAUUAGAGGGACCAAAAGACCCUAGGAUCUUUAAUUUUGAGCAAUUUUAUUGGUUAAAAAUUUUUGUUGGGGAAACACGAAGUUAUUUACUUUGAGUUAUUAAUUUAUGACUUUAAGAUGCGUAAAAAGUUACCCUAGGGAUAACAGGCCCAUCUUUUUUGAGAGUUCAAAUUUACAAAAAGGAUUGGCACCUCGAUGUUGGCUUAAGAACAACCCAGGUGCAGUAGUUUGGGGAAAAGGCUU